Molecule: transfer RNA, 69 nt
Filed under: Protaetia brevitarsis
Lineage: Eukaryota; Metazoa; Arthropoda; Insecta; Coleoptera; Scarabaeidae
Description: tRNA-Trp
Source: RNAcentral
AAGGAUUUAAGUUAAACAAACUAAGAACCUUCAAAGUUCUAAAUAAAGACGAUUCCUCUUUAAGCCUUA